UGGUGCCAGCAGCCGCGGUAAUUCCAGCUCCAAUAGCGUAUAUUAAAGUUGUUGCAGUUAAAAAGCUCGUAGUUGAAUUUCGGGAUCAUCAGGUUGGUCGUGCCAUUGGUAUGUACUAGCUUUGGUGGUUCCUACCUCUUGAAGAACCGUAAUGUCAUUAACUUGGUGUUGCGGGGAAUCAGGACUGUUACUUUGAAAAAAUUAGAGUGUUUAAAGCAGGCAAACGCUUGAAUACAUUAGCAUGGAAUAAUGAAAUAGGACGUUUGAUCUUAUUUUGUUGGUUUCUAGGAUCGACGUAAUGAUUAAUAGGGAUAGUUGGGGGCAUUAGUAUUCAAUUGUCAGAGGUGAAAUUCUUGGAUUUAUUGAAGACUAACUACUGCGAAAGCAUUUGCCAAGGAUGUUUUCAUUAAUCAAGAACGAAAGUUAGGGGAUGGAAGACGAUCAGAUACCGUCGUAGUCUUAACCAUAAACUAUGCCGACUAGGGA
RNAcentral lists this ribosomal RNA (486 nucleotides) under uncultured Glomeromycotina. Its description in RNAcentral is "SSU rRNA". It matches the Rfam family "Eukaryotic small subunit ribosomal RNA", at positions 562 to 1052 of the family's 1831-position model. Lineage: Eukaryota; Fungi; Glomeromycota. The record is from RNAcentral.